RNAcentral lists this ribosomal RNA (253 nucleotides) under uncultured bacterium. Its description in RNAcentral is "partial 16S ribosomal RNA". It matches the Rfam family "Bacterial small subunit ribosomal RNA", at positions 524 to 776 of the family's 1533-position model. The record is from RNAcentral.
GACGUAGGGCGCGAGCGUUGUCCGGAUUUAUUGGGCGUAAAGAGCUCGUAGGCGGCUUGUCGCGUCGUCCGUGAAAACCCACAGCUCAACUGUGGGCUUGCGGUCGAUACGGGCAGGCUAGAGUUCGGUAGGGGAGACUGGAAUUCCUGGUGUAGCGGUGAAAUGCGCAGAUAUCAGGAGGAACACCGGUGGCGAAGGCGGGUCUCUGGGCCGAAAUUGACGCUGAGGAGCGAAAGCGUGGGGAGCAAACAGG